Molecule: ribosomal RNA, 497 nt
Filed under: uncultured bacterium
Lineage: Bacteria
Description: partial 16S ribosomal RNA
Rfam family: Bacterial small subunit ribosomal RNA
Source: RNAcentral
GAUGAACGCUGGCGGCGUGCCUAAUACAUGCAAGUCGAGCGAACAGACGAGGAGCUUGCUCCUCUGACGUUAGCGGCGGACGGGUGAGUAACACGUGGAUAACCUACCUAUAAGACUGGGAUAACUUCGGGAAACCGGAGCUAAUACCAGAUAAUAUAUUGAACCGCAUGGUUCAAUAGUGAAAGACGGUUUUGCUGUCACUUAUAGAUGGAUCCGCGCCGCAUUAGCUAGUUGGUAAGGUAACGGCUUACCAAGGCAACGAUGCGUAGCCGACCUGAGAAGGUGAUCGGCCACACUGGAACUGAGACACGGUCCAGACUCCUACGGGAGGCAGCAGUAGGGAAUCUUCCGCAAUGGGCGAAAGCCUGACGGAGCAACGCCGCGUGAGUGAUGAAGGUCUUCGGAUCGUAAAACUCUGUUAUUAGGGAAGAACAAAUGUGUAAGUAACUAUGCACGUCUUGACGGUACCUAAUCAGAAAGCCACGGCUAACUACGUG